GGCGCAGGGGGUUACCAUGAUCGUGAAGCUGGUUUUCCCAGGGGGGCCUUAUCCACCACAAUCGAGAUGUGCUGACCCCUGCGAUUUCCCCAAAUGAGGGAAACUCAAGUGUCUAAUUUGUGGUAGCAGCGGGGGGGGUGGGGGAUGGCGACAGUCGUGCUUUCCCCCA
Small nuclear RNA from Canis lupus familiaris (dog), 169 nucleotides. RefSeq annotates it as U1 spliceosomal RNA. The record is from RefSeq and is a predicted model, not a curated record. The transcript has a single exon. Lineage: Eukaryota; Metazoa; Chordata; Mammalia; Carnivora; Canidae.